GGUGAAAUGGUCGAGUAUAAAAGGCGUUAAAUUGUAAAUUUAAAUACGAAGAAUAUCUUCUUUCACCA
RNAcentral lists this transfer RNA (68 nucleotides) under Cryptocephalus ramburii. RNAcentral's name for it is "tRNA-Tyr". It matches the Rfam family "tRNA". Rfam says of the family: Transfer RNA (tRNA) molecules are approximately 80 nucleotides in length. Their secondary structure includes four short double-helical elements and three loops (D, anti-codon, and T loops). The record is from RNAcentral. Lineage: Eukaryota; Metazoa; Arthropoda; Insecta; Coleoptera; Chrysomelidae.